AUUUCUUUAGUAUAACCAGUACAUUUACCUUCCAAGUAAAAAGUUUAAGCAUUCUAAAAGAAAUA
Molecule: transfer RNA, 65 nt
Filed under: Mopalia retifera
Lineage: Eukaryota; Metazoa; Mollusca; Polyplacophora; Chitonida; Mopaliidae
Description: tRNA-Gly
Source: RNAcentral